GCCUGCACCAUCUGGUCCCCUGGGAGGUCAGUGCAGGGUUACUCCAUUUUGACAUGAAGUAAAUUCUAGAUUAGGUAUUUGGCAGUUAACUCGUCUGGAUAUAUGGGAACAGAAGUGCCAGACACGUAGAUAAUAUUUGGAGAACAGGAGCAGACUUGGAACAUGCUGAAUAGAGGACAAGGAAGCACAAGGAGGAGAUCGAGAAAAGUCAACCACUCCUUGCUUGAUGAUACAAAUUGCAUCAAGACCCUUUGUCUUCAAAAAUUCACAUGCUGAAGACGGCAUUAGUUUCCAAACUAAUAUUUCUUAUACUUCCUCUGAGAUAGUUUUUAAGACCAAAGAAGUAUUAUAGGCUGACAACUGAGAUUUUGGCUGAAACAUUGAUGGCUGAGAAAAGACUUAUAAACGGCCAUGUUUAAGAUUUUCCUGCUACUUACAUGUCUGAAAUGGAAAACAGGGGAAGAGCAUUUAGUUCAUUCAAGCUACCCUUGUGAGGUUAAAAAGAAAAUUGAUUGUGGUUUAUUAGUCCUUUCCAAUAAGCACUCAAAGGUUCAGCUAACUGAAAGCAAUUGAUACUAGUGGAAUCAAUGGUGCAGUAGAAUACCCUAAUGGGUAUUGUUGGAACUUUUAAUUCUCAUUAUGCAGUUUAUUCUUUCAAGGGUUAUUUGAUGGAGUUUUUGUUGAUGAGUAUCUUUAAAGCUUUUCUGUUUAAAUAAUUGGUUUAUGAACAGCUCUGCCCUAUUUUAGGUCAAUUUCAGAUACAUGCAUUGUGAUUCAUGCAAACAUAUAAGCAUAUUAAAAAUGAAAAAUUUA
Long non-coding RNA from Pongo pygmaeus (Bornean orangutan), 813 nucleotides. RefSeq lists it as uncharacterized. Lineage: Eukaryota; Metazoa; Chordata; Mammalia; Primates; Hominidae. The transcript is spliced from 4 exons. The record is from RefSeq and is a predicted model, not a curated record.